This 393-nucleotide ribosomal RNA is filed under the name uncultured bacterium. RNAcentral describes it as "bacterial SSU rRNA". It matches the Rfam family "Bacterial small subunit ribosomal RNA", at positions 28 to 418 of the family's 1533-position model. The record is from RNAcentral.
GACGAACGCUGGCGGCGUGCUUAACACAUGCAAGUCGAGCGGUAAGGCCCUUUCGGGGUACGACGAGCGGCGAACGGGUAGAGUAACACGUGGGUGACCUGCCCUCCAGCUCUGGGAGUAAGCCUGGGAAACCGGGUACUAAUACCGGAUAUGACUCCAUGACGCAUGUUGUGGGGUGGAAAGCCUUGUGCGGCUGAGGAUGGGCCCGCGGCCUAUCAGCUUGUUGGUGGGGUGAUGGCCUACCAAGGCGACGACGGGUAGCCGGCCUGAGAGGGCGACCGGCCACACUGGGACUGAGACACGGCCCAGACUCCUACGGGAGGCAGCAGUGGGGAAUCUUGCGCAAUGGGCGAAAGCCUGACGCAGCGACGCCGCGUGAGGGAUGACGGCCUC